UACGUAGGGGCGAGCGUUGUCCGGAAUGAUUGGGCGUAAAGGGCGCGUAGGCGGCUUGUUAAGUCUGGAGUGGAAGUCCUCUUUUCAAGGGAGGAAUUGCUUUUGGAAACUGGAGGGCUUGAGUGCAGGAGAGGUUAUCGGAAUUCCCGGUGUAGCGGUGAAAUGCGUAGAGAUCGGGAGGAACACCAGUGGCGAAGGCGGGUAACUGGACUGCAACUGACGCUGAGGCGCGAAAGUGUGGGGAGCAAACAGGAUUAGAUAUCCCUGUAGUCCCUGA
This 277-nucleotide ribosomal RNA is filed under the name uncultured prokaryote. Its description in RNAcentral is "partial 16S ribosomal RNA". It matches the Rfam family "Bacterial small subunit ribosomal RNA", at positions 524 to 800 of the family's 1533-position model. The record is from RNAcentral.